UGUUAUGUGUAAGUUUAUAAUGCUAAAAAGUAUUCAUUCCCCCUGUGACCGCAGACUUUUGGGACGCCCUGUAUGUAUAGAUGGAAUAAUGUAACGCAAUAAUAUUGAUCAUCAUUUAUUGUCACAACGCUAUUAGCACUAUUGUUUAUUGUUUACUAUUUAUUAGCACUAUUCUUUAUUGUUUACUAUUUAUUAGCACUAUUGUUUAUUGUUUACUAUUUAUUAGCACUAUUGUUUAUUAGCCUACAUUUCGCCAUUUUAUAGGUCCAAUGCAAUUUUGAACCAAAUCAGACGAUGCCGGACGACCGCUACAUGUGUAUCUCGGCAACGCCUUCCCUCAUUGCCGUGUAAGAUUUCUGCGCGUUCUAAACCUGGACAGACUGAGCGCGGUAUCUGAAUGCAACAGUAAUCGGGUGUAAUUUAGUGGAUCGGUGCGCUUUCGCUAGCGUUUCAUCAGGCCUGCACGGGCUUGAACCCACGUCGGUUCGUGUGAGCUGCUCUCGCUCGGUGAGGGAUUCCGAGCGGUGCAGUUUCGAGAGGCUGUACAGGAAAUUGUUGAGUUGAGUUUUGGUUUGUCCUAAUACAGGGCUGGCUUUGCGUGUCACGGCAUGGGCACGGCUCCAAACCAAACCCGCUUCAAAGUGCACCUAGAGGCAGAGCGAGCGAGCGAGCGAGGUGUGAGCGAUAGAGAGAGAGCAAACAACGGUUUGACUGACCGUGUUGUAAAAAGCCACUGAGUGGUGAUGAGCGCUCGGGCUGUGUUCAGGGUUCGAGAUGAUGAUGAUGAUGAUGAUGUAAUCACACGUAGGUUCUGAGCUUCAAUGCUUUGCGGUGCGCUCACUCCGGACACCUCGGCUUGUCCACUUGUGUGUUUUGUUAGGAUGAUGUGGUCUGAAUCUGGUGUGAAGGCAGGCUGAACUCUAGAGAAGUAAACAGGAAGGGAAGUGCUGUUAAUUCCGUCGUUCCCGUUGUACCGUCGCUUCAUGUUUCCACGCCGUAUUUGCAUCGGCUAACGACCGGGAAAGCUUCCGUAUUCCACGUUUCAAACCCGACUGACGCGUUAAUGAUUUAACAGCCGCACAAAUCUUUCCCGCAGACACGGAGCGUGCGUGCGUGCGUGCGUGCGUGCGUGCGACUUCUGUCUGCCAGUUUGAUGGGAGCGAUACGUUUAUGUUUACUUUCUUAUUGCAGCUUUUCAGUAAGAUACAUUUGCAUUGCAUACCAACAAGCUAUUUUUUAAAAAUAAAUAAAAAAAAAAACAUUUUUAAUUCGUUCUGCUCCGAAUAGGAAUGUUAUAAAUUAAAUUGAAAUAAAAUUCCUCAUACUUGGCGUGAAUUCGCUGCAUUUAUUUGAUUGAUAAUUAGUGAAAAAAAAGCGCAAAAAUUUUACUUUAUUAAUAAAUGAUUAAUAAUAAUUAUUAAUUAAAAAAAUGAAAUCUUGUUAUAUUAAUUAGGAAAUAUAUUAAUACACAUGCGGUCUGACUUUAGUGCUCACACUGAUGUGUUUUCGAGCAAACUAAUAAGACGUCGGAAUUAUUAUUCGUUAUUUUUUUCUGACUUGCUGUAAGCUUGACUCGCGCUUACUCGAAGUAGCUCCUCUUCAGAACGCCGUCACUAACGAUUAACGUUUUCUCGUACCGACUGCUCGUAAAGCUCUCCUCGUUCGGUAUUUUAUAUUUUGGUCUCUGUUUGGUCUCGUGGAUCCAGCUGUGGUGGUUGUAAUGUUGUUCUGUGUUUAUUGGGCCAGCUGGAGCUGGACCUGGGCUGCUCCUUUCUGGGUUUGAUUUUACAGAAAUAAAUAAAUGCCGUGUUGAAUUACAUGUUGGAUGUUAUAAUGGCGAGUCCUCCGCCACGCUGUUGGGAGAGAUCGAGAGACUGAGAAUGAGGCGGAGAACUUUAGAAUGGGAUGGAGAACGGGGCGGAGCACUAGAGAAUGAGCUGGAGAACGGUAGCGCGAGACGGAGAGCUGGAGAAUGAGACUGAGAGCGGUAGAACGAGACGGAGAACGGUAGAACGAGACGGAGAACGGUAGAACGAGACGGAGAACGGUAGAACUAGACGGAGAACGAGACGGAGAAGUAGAGAACGAGACGGAGAACGGGACGGAGAAGUAGAGAAUGAGACUGAGAACGGAGAACGGACGGAAGUAGAGAAUGAGACUGAGAACGAGACGGAGAACGAGACGGAGAAGUAGAGAAUGAGACUGAGAACGAGACGGAGAAGUAGAGAAUGAGACGGAGAACGGGAGAACGAGACGGAGACAGGAUGGUCAGACGGACAGACGAUCAGAACAUCCUGAAUGUUCUGCCGUUAGAGCAGUGUCCUUGUUAGAAAGUCCUCCCUCCGUCUCUCUCGAUCCUGCACCGUCUCUCUGUCUCGUGCUUUCUUUUCAUCUCCCUCCUUUUGUUCCUGUUGUGUCCUUUCAG
Molecule: long non-coding RNA, 2425 nt
Organism: Ictalurus punctatus (channel catfish)
Lineage: Eukaryota; Metazoa; Chordata; Actinopteri; Siluriformes; Ictaluridae
Source: Ensembl